This 117-nucleotide ribosomal RNA is filed under the name Candidatus Gottesmanbacteria bacterium. Lineage: Bacteria; Candidatus Gottesmaniibacteriota. The record is from RNAcentral.
CUCGGUGAUUUGAGCGAGCCGGUCCGACCCGAUCCCAUUCCGAACUCGGAAGUCAAACGGCUUAGCGCCAACAAUACCUGUCUCUAAAGGGACCGGGAAAAUAGGUCAUCGCCGGGG